This 565-nucleotide unclassified non-coding RNA is filed under the name Rhizosphaera sp. FBCC2309. RNAcentral describes it as "sequence contains 18S rRNA gene, ITS1, 5.8S rRNA gene, ITS2 and 28S rRNA gene". Lineage: Eukaryota; Fungi; Ascomycota; Dothideomycetes; Dothideales; Dothideaceae. The record is from RNAcentral.
AUUGAUAUGCUUAAGUUCAGCGGGUAUCCCUACCUGAUCCGAGGUCAACCUAGAAAAUUUAAAGGUUUAACGGCAAUGAGAUCCGACCAAGCUUAUAAGACGUUCGAUUUAACUCUACUACGCCCGAAGUUGGUUGAACCCCGCCGAGGUCUUCGAGGAAGGCCCGCCUUGCGACGGACCGUUCCCAAUACCAAGCGAUGCUUGAGUGGUGUAAUGACGCUCGAACAGGCAUGCCCCUCGGAAUACCAAGGGGCGCAAUGUGCGUUCAAAGAUUCGAUGAUUCACUGAAUUCUGCAAUUCACAUUACUUAUCGCAUUUCGCUGCGUUCUUCAUCGAUGCGAGAACCAAGAGAUCCGUUGUUGAAAGUUUUAAUUUAAUUAAAAUUUUAUACUCAGACGACUGGUUUAAUACAAGAGUUUGGUUGGACUCUGGCGGGCGCUCACCAACCCGAGGGUUAGUGCGCUCGGAGACCGAGACGGUCCCGCCAAAGCAACAAGGUAGUUUUAACAACAGAGGGUUGGAGGUCGGGCCAUGAAGACCCUAUCUCUUUAAUGAUCCUUCCGCA